Molecule: non-coding RNA, 77 nt
Organism: Podarcis lilfordi (Lilford's wall lizard)
Lineage: Eukaryota; Metazoa; Chordata; Lepidosauria; Squamata; Lacertidae
Source: the annotation of a GenBank genome assembly
UUGGACUGAUAGCUCAGUUGGUAGAGCAUAAGACUCUUAAUCUUAGGGUCAAGGGUUCGAGUCCCACAUUGAGCAAA